CCCGCCACCCCCAGGCUGUGGGGGUGCGUUAGCAGGUCCGCCCUCGGCGGGGGGCGGCGCGCGCCCUCUACCGCCCCUCGGAAGCGCCGGAGGGAGGCUUGGCUUAAAGGUCACCUUCUCAACGAGGCCUCAUUGUGACUUCUCUAUUUAAUUCUGGCAGGGCCGGGACUAGGAAGAGGCAGAGACAUAGGCAGGCCCUACAAGGAACCUAAUGUGGGACUCGAUCCCAGCACCCUGGGAUCAUGCCCUGAGCUGAAGGCAGACGCUCAACUGCUGAGGCCCCCAGGCGCCCCGAAGAUGCCGUUUCCUGAUGGAUUGCUGAGGAAACCGAGACCCAGAAGCACAGAGGAUUUGAGCCCCGGGCCCAGGAGCACACGGCGGGUGCAGAGAAGAGCCAGGAUUUGGGCCCCAGCCACCCCGCCUGCACCACCAUUUGCACGAGUGGCUGCGUGAAGAAUCGUGUCCCCCGCCAUCGGCUUCCGUGGAAGCCCUGACCCCCAGCGGGGUCCGUAUUUGGAGGUUGGACCUUAGGUGCUGCGGGUUAGGUGAGGGCAUGAGGCUGGGCCCCCGUCCCCGGAGGGGGGAUUAGUGCCCUGGGAAGGGGAUGAGGGACCCCUGCAUGUGAGCCCCCAGUGAGAAGGCGACUGGCGUCACCCAGACCGAGAGCCCGCACCGGGCGCCCAAGCAAAGUCAGACGGCAGGUCAUCGAAUGUCCUCCCCAGAAUAGCCCCAGGAAGAUGCGGUUGCAGUAGAGGAGACCCAGAGGCUCAGAGAGGGCAGGACGCCUCUGUGAGGUCACACAGCAAGGAACCGACGGAGGGGAGGUUCCCACUCCAGUCUGCCCCGUGCCCUUCUCAGCCCCAUCGCCCCCGCCUCGCCCCAGCCCGCCCUGACCUUCCCCAGGACCCAGCAGACCGCUCUAGCGAGGCAGCUUGGCAUCACAGUUAAUAGACUGAUGUGGGUUGAAAUCCUCACUCUGGCAUUGUUUUUUCUUCCUUUUCUAUUUUUAAAAAAUAUUUUAUUGGGAUCCCUGGGUGGCGCAGCAGUUUAGCGCCUGCCUUUGGCCCAGGGCGCGAUCCUGGAGACCCGGGAUCGAA
This is a long non-coding RNA of Canis lupus familiaris (dog), 1097 nucleotides long. RefSeq lists it as uncharacterized. NCBI's taxonomy places the organism in Eukaryota, Metazoa, Chordata, Mammalia, Carnivora, Canidae. The record is from RefSeq and is a predicted model, not a curated record. The transcript is spliced from 4 exons.